Molecule: long non-coding RNA, 2235 nt
Filed under: Carica papaya (papaya)
Lineage: Eukaryota; Viridiplantae; Streptophyta; Magnoliopsida; Brassicales; Caricaceae
Description: long non-coding RNA (CPAP_LNC015756)
Source: RNAcentral
AGAGCCCCCUAAGAAAGAGGAGAAUCCGAGAGAGUCAUGGGGCGCUAAAGCGUGUGCUUUAGAACGCCCAUCAUUCUGGCUUUAUCAAAAUUCUGACAUAAGACAGAAUAAGGGUCAAAAGCAAUAUCAGAAGAAAAAGAUAGAUUUUUCAAUUCUUUUCAGGUCAAAAAGGCGGACUGCCGGUGGGGGCUGAGGGGGUGGGACUUCUUCUGCUUUACAACCAGAAGUUGGAACCUUAGACUUUUGACUUUCACCAAUAGGCUUAGAGUAGGAAAUAGGAAAUCCCGAUUCCAAGAAGGCAGUUGAGAAUAGAAAAAAGUCUGACUCAAGCGGAAGUGGAGCGAAAUGCUUCCCUCAUUUGUAGCACAAUACGAGGUCUGGUGCGCAUAACGGAUACCUAGAUCUGGUUGGGAAAGUACAAUCUAAUCUUGCUUAGGUUACAUUAGAAAUAAGUACUUCAACCAUUUUCUUCUUUUUUCAAAAAAGUAGGGUGCGCCACAUGGGAGGCUGCGGCUGUUAGCGAAAUCAGAGCUCUUGGGUAAGAAGGCAGGGACUUCUUUUCUGUUUUUGAUAGAGCAAGCCAGGUAUGAAAUGACUCUUAUGAUAAGGAGAAGAACUACUAGCCAGCCUAAGCUUUAUCAUUUGCUUAUUUACUUCAUUCAUUGCCGAAAGAAAGAAGAAAGAUAAGAGCUUGAAAACUAGCCUUUUUCAAAAAGAUAUGCUUGCCUACCUCUUUUCUUGCUCUAGAGCCUUCAAACUAAGAUAAAGCACUGCCUACGAAGCACUCCAAUGGCUGAACUCUCAACGGCUAGAGGAAAGACUCCUACUCCCACAAUAGGACUAGGGGCAAGAGCACUAUCCAAUUUUCCUAUAAUGUAAAUAGUGGGCAAAGCACUUUCUGGUCUAGCAAUUGCAAUUGGAAAGGCUGCAACAGGAAGAGCUUAACUUAAGACGUCUACUGGCUCGGCUGGCAUGACAUUGAAAUAAGGGGCUUAGCUUAGAAUGAACAUUGGGUUUGCUCGCUCACUCGAUGCGCUUACUACUAGAGCUAGAUGGGUUUAGCUUUUCUUCUCCAAGAGGAUCAAUGGGAAAAGGAAUUGAACUGGCUUAAAAUCUCAAAUAAAAGAGCUUAGGUCCUUUACCUUUGACCUCUCCCUCUUAUCCAUAGCUUGCUUGAAAGAAGACUGAUUUUGCUAAAGAACUAGCUUGCCCAUUGGCUGGGAGAUUAUCUAGCUAUUUAGACUAAGGGGAGAGCUGGUCUUACUGUUAGACACGGUAAACAUAGGAGAAACCUUAUCCACGUUAGGAAGAGUAGUACCGAUAGCCUUAGUACGAGUUGGACCUUUCUUAUUCUUAGUCCUCUUAUGACUCUUAUACAAGCUAGCUCUCUUAUGCGCUUGCCUCGAAUUACUGGUAAUGUUAUUUAGGCCCUUCUUACUUAGCACUGUCAGAUCAAGGGAAGGAAUGAUAAGAAUAGCCUUUGCCAACUCACUCUUAUCCUCUUAGUAGAACUGCUAGUCUUCUAAGCCUGUGUAGUUAUUUAGUUAUUAUGCUAGGUAAAAAGGGGAGCUUAAUAAAGACCAGUUUUUAACAACAGUUAGCAUGUUAGCUCGCUAGUAGUACUGAUAUAAGGACUUCUUAAACACAUAUUAGGAAACUCUAAAGUGGGAAGAGCCCCUAAGAAAGAGAACUCCCAUUCGAUGCCAGAACCGGAUGGCCUUAUGCAAUUGGAUAGACUGUCAGAGAUUUUCCUUUUACAAGAGAUGCUUGCACUUCAACUAAUUCCCCAGCUGCCCUAACCUUUUCUGUCUGAUGACUUGCUAAGAAACUAAAUUUGAGCCCUAGCUUGACGACUCCUUUGAUUUGCUUACUAAGCCCUAGCUUACUAGAAAGAAAAUUGACUUCGAUGGAUCAUGUGCUUGGGCGGGAAAGAGAAAUUCGGACACAAGACAGACCAGUCUAUCUUUGUUUGAAUGCUGUAUUUCCAACAGAUCCAUCCCUCAGCUCCCUAGGGGAAGAAGGGACCCAUGAGCACUCAGAAGAUGUUCUCACACUCCAAAAGGAUUGAUAUUUAAGAAAAGUAGACUGAACCCAUCUAUUCAAAAUAGAAUCAGGGUCAUUACAUAAGAUAUGCCAAAUAUGCUUCAACACAGAUGCUUUGUUCCAUUCAUGAACUCUCUUAAUGCCAAAACCACCUUCCCUAGUAGGACAAGAGACCUGGUCCCAAGCAAGGCU